RNAcentral lists this ribosomal RNA (492 nucleotides) under uncultured bacterium. RNAcentral's name for it is "partial 16S ribosomal RNA". It matches the Rfam family "Bacterial small subunit ribosomal RNA", at positions 29 to 507 of the family's 1533-position model. The record is from RNAcentral.
AUUGAACGCUGGCGGCAUGCUUUACACAUGCAAGUCGAACGGUAACAGGCCUUCGGUUGCUGACGAGUGGCGAACGGGUGAGUAAUGCAUCGGAACGUGCCCAGAGGUGGGGGAUAACGCAGCGAAAGCUGUGCUAAUACCGCAUGUGAUCUGAGGAUGAAAGCGGGGGACCAGGCAGCAAGGUUUGGCCUCGCGCCUUUGGAGCGGCCGAUGUCAGAUUAGGUAGUUGGUGGGGUAAAGGCCUACCAAGCCGACGAUCUGUAGCUGGUCUGAGAGGACGACCAGCCACACUGGGACUGAGACACGGCCCAGACUCCUACGGGAGGCAGCAGUGGGGAAUUUUGGACAAUGGGCGCAAGCCUGAUCCAGCAAUGCCGCGUGAGGGAAGAAGGCCUUCGGGUUGUAAACCGCUUUUGUACGGAACGAAAAGGCUCUGGCUAAUACCUGGGGAUGAUGACGGUACCGGAAGAAAAAGCACCGGCUAACUACGUG